UCCGGUUUGUCACCGGCAGUCUCCUAUGAGUCCCCGGCUUGAACCGCUGGCAACAUAGGACAAGGGUUGCGCUCGUUGCGGGACUUAACCCAACAUCUCACGACACGAGCUGACGACAGCCAUGCAACACCUGUGUAGGGCCCUUGCGGACACCGUGUCUCCACGGCUUUUCCCUACAUGUCAAGCCCAGGUAAGGUUCUUCGCGUUGCGUCGAAUUAAACCACAUGCUCCACCGCUUGUGCGGGCCCCCGUCAAUUCCUUUGAGUUUCAGCCUUGCGGCCGUACUCCCCAGGCGGGGCACUUACUGCGUUAGCUACGGUACGGAGUCCGUUGGUAAGACCCCACACCUAGUGCCCAACGUUUACGGCGUGGACUAC
RNAcentral lists this unclassified non-coding RNA (377 nucleotides) under uncultured Actinomycetes bacterium. RNAcentral's name for it is "uncultured actinobacterium contains 16S-23S intergenic spacer region". Lineage: Bacteria; Bacillati; Actinomycetota; Actinomycetes. The record is from RNAcentral.